AGAGUUUGAUCCUGGCUCAGGACGAACGCUGGCGGCGUGCCUAAUGCAUGCAAGUCGCACGCAGGAGCUUCGGCUGCUGAGUGGCGCACGGCUGAGUAGCCCGUGGGCAUCUGGCCCCUCGUGGGGGACAACAGCGCGAAAGUGCUGCUAAUCCCGCAUACGCUCCGUGAGGAGGAAAGCGGCAACGCGCGGGGGGGGGAGCCUGCGCCCCAUCAGGUGGUUGGUAGGGUAAUGGCCUACCAAGCCGGUGACGGGUCGCUGGUCUGAGAGGAUGACCAGCCAGACUGGGACUGAGACACGGCCCAGACGGCGACGGGAGGCAGCAGCAAGGGAUUUUCCCCAAUGGGGGAAAGCCUGAGGGAGCAACGCCGCGUGGGGGACGACGGCCUUCGGGUUGUAAACCCCUGUCGAGGGGGAGGAAGGCGUCGCGCAGAGCGACGCUUGACCGAUCCCUGGAGGAAGCACGGGCUAAGUUCGUGCCAGCCGCCGCGGUAAUUC
Molecule: ribosomal RNA, 498 nt
Filed under: uncultured bacterium
Lineage: Bacteria
Description: bacterial SSU rRNA
Rfam family: Bacterial small subunit ribosomal RNA
Source: RNAcentral